GGUUUUGGUUGGGAUCUUUUGAC
This 23-nucleotide small nuclear RNA is filed under the name Arabidopsis thaliana (thale cress). RNAcentral describes it as "snRNA_01534". Lineage: Eukaryota; Viridiplantae; Streptophyta; Magnoliopsida; Brassicales; Brassicaceae. The record is from RNAcentral.